This 253-nucleotide ribosomal RNA is filed under the name uncultured bacterium. RNAcentral's name for it is "partial 16S ribosomal RNA". It matches the Rfam family "Bacterial small subunit ribosomal RNA", at positions 524 to 776 of the family's 1533-position model. The record is from RNAcentral.
GACAGAGGGUGCAAACGUUGUUCGGAAUUACUGGGCGUAAAGGGCGCGUAGGCGGUCUGCUAAGUUGGAUGUGAAAACUCUGGGCUUAACCCAGAGCCUGCAUUCAAUACUGACAGGCUAGAGUUCUGGAGGGGAUAGCGGAAUUCCUGGUGUAGCGGUGAAAUGCGUAGAUAUCAGGAGGAACACCGGUGGCGAAGGCGGCUAUCUGGACAGAAACUGACGCUGAGGCGCGAAAGCUAGGGGAGCAAACAGG